GGCGGCGUGCUGUUCAGUCCCUUCCUUGUUUAUGUGUUGCUGGCGCUGGUGCUUACCGGGUUGCUGCGUCUGGUGGUGCAGGCCACGCCGUUGGGGCGCUGGAUCUGGCAUGAAGCGCUGUUCGACGCGGCGCUG
RNAcentral lists this small RNA (135 nucleotides) under Pseudomonas inefficax. Its description in RNAcentral is "Pseudomonas sp. JV551A3 P18". It matches the Rfam family "Pseudomonas sRNA P18". The record is from RNAcentral. RNAcentral also lists the same sequence under 1 other name. Lineage: Bacteria; Pseudomonadati; Pseudomonadota; Gammaproteobacteria; Pseudomonadales; Pseudomonadaceae.